This 749-nucleotide long non-coding RNA is filed under the name Bos taurus (domestic cattle). RNAcentral describes it as "long non-coding RNA NONBTAT001785". The record is from RNAcentral. Lineage: Eukaryota; Metazoa; Chordata; Mammalia; Artiodactyla; Bovidae.
UGGACCUUUAAUUUUUAUGGCAGUUUUUCUCUGUGGGAAACUGAUGUAUCGUUGUCACAGAAAUAAGCAUAGUUAAUGAAUUGAAGAAAUGAAUGUUUUUCUCUUUUUGUUUAUAUAUUGUAAAAUAGCUUCAAAUAACUAACAAUUUUACUCAAGAAAAGACUUGAUCAGCACUACACUGCCACGUGAUUUCUGCUUAGUAUACUAGAUAAAAAAGAACGGAGUUGUUUUUACCAAAAACAGGUGAUCCAGGGAGAGAAAUUGCACCCAGAAUAGGAAAAGGCCAUAAGCUCCCAAUAGAUUUCUAGUCAAUUCAUUCAUCUCUGUAAGUACCCUUUUUAUCUUUUAGAUUAAAGCACACAUUCCAGAGGAUACCAGGAGAGUAUGGGGAGAGGAGAGGAUAUUUUUUGUGAAACCAGGACCAGCCAAAGAGUAGGAGCAUAAUGCCCUCCGUUUUAAUCUGAGACACAUCAGGAUAGCCAGAGUAAUGUAAAGUGCUAUUUCCUACCUUGCUGCUGCUUUUAACUAAACAAUUUGGGAUUGCCCUAAUGAAUUUCAGAGGCUUUCAAAAGAUCCUCUCAUUUUUGCCUGUCAGGAUUUAUAACCUAAUAUGAUACAUCACGUUCAGAACUCAGCAUUCUGUGGCAUUCUGACCUACUUUGUCAAUUAUUUUCACGUCAGAUUUACCCAGGGACAGAAAGAUUACUCUGCUUUCUCCUAAUAAAACCAAAUUAAGUGACAAUGGGUGC